RNAcentral lists this ribosomal RNA (490 nucleotides) under uncultured bacterium. RNAcentral's name for it is "partial 16S ribosomal RNA". It matches the Rfam family "Bacterial small subunit ribosomal RNA", at positions 30 to 507 of the family's 1533-position model. The record is from RNAcentral.
AUUGAACGCUGGCGGCAGGCCUAACACAUGCAAGUCGAACGGUAACAGGAAGCAGCUUGCUGCUUUGCGUACGAGUGGCGGACGGGUGAGAAAUGUCUGUGAAACUGCCUGAUGGAGGGGGAAAACUACUGGAAACGGUAGCUAAAACCGCAUAACGUCGCAAGACCAAAGAGGGGGACCGUCGGGCCUCUUGCCAUCGGAUGUGCCCAGAUGGGAUUAGCUAGUAGGUGGGGUAACGGCUCACCUAGGCGACGAUCCCUAGCUGGUCUGAGAGGAUGACCAGCCACACUGGAACUGAGACACGGUCCAGACUCCUACGGGAGGCAGCAGUGGGGAAUCUUGCACAAUGGGCGCAAGCCUGAUGCAGCCAUGCCGCGUGUAUGAAGAAGGCCUUCGGGUUGUAAAGUACUUUCAGCGGGGAGGAAGGGAGUAGUGUUAAUACCUUUGCUCAUUGACGUUACCCGCAGAAGAAGCACCGGCUAACUCCGUG